This 790-nucleotide ribosomal RNA is filed under the name Staphylococcus pseudintermedius. RNAcentral describes it as "partial 23S ribosomal RNA". It matches the Rfam family "Bacterial large subunit ribosomal RNA", at positions 1353 to 2140 of the family's 2925-position model. Lineage: Bacteria; Bacillati; Bacillota; Bacilli; Caryophanales; Staphylococcaceae. The record is from RNAcentral.
UCCAGAGGAAGGCUCGUCCGCUCUGGGUUAGUCGGGUCCUAAGCUGAGGCCGACAGGCGUAGGCGAUGGAUAACAGGUUGAUAUUCCUGUACCACCAUUAUUCGUUUUAAGCGAUGGGGGGACGCAGUAGGAUAGGCGAAGCGUGCUGUUGGAGUGCACGUCCAAGCAGUGAGAUUGAGUGUUAGGCAAAUCCGGCACUCUUAAGAUUGAGCUGUGAUGGGGAGAGGAACUUGUUCCUCGAGUCGUUGAUUUCACACUGCCGAGAAAAGCCUCUAGCUAGAAUAACGGUGCCCGUACCGCAAACCGACACAGGUAGUCAAGAUGAGAAUUCUAAGGUGAGCGAGCGAACUCUCGUUAAGGAACUCGGCAAAAUGACCCCGUAACUUCGGGAGAAGGGGUGCUCUUUGAGGUUCACGCUUCGAAGAGCCGCAGUGAAUAGGCCCAAGCGACUGUUUAUCAAAAACACAGGUCUCUGCUAAACCGUAAGGUGACGUAUAGGGGCUGACGCCUGCCCGGUGCUGGAAGGUUAAGAGGAGUGGUUAGCGCAAGCGAAGCUACGAAUCGAAGCCCCAGUAAACGGCGGCCGUAACUAUAACGGUCCUAAGGUAGCGAAAUUCCUUGUCGGGUAAGUUCCGACCCGCACGAAAGGCGUAACGAUUUGGGCACUGUCUCAACGAGAGACUCGGUGAAAUCAUAGUACCGGUGAAGAUGCCGGUUACCCGCGACAGGACGGAAAGACCCCGUGGAGCUUUACUGUAGCCUGAUAUUGAAAUUCGGUACAGUUUGUACA